RNAcentral lists this ribosomal RNA (118 nucleotides) under Pogona vitticeps (central bearded dragon). Lineage: Eukaryota; Metazoa; Chordata; Lepidosauria; Squamata; Agamidae. The record is from RNAcentral.
CUAUCUUCUUCUGUACGCACCUGAUCUGAUUUUGGAAGCUAAGGAGAGUUGGACCUGAUUAGUACUUGGACAUUAUUAAGUAGGACCAAGAAAGAAUCCAGUCUGAAACCUGGUAAGC